RNAcentral lists this ribosomal RNA (206 nucleotides) under uncultured Eubacteriales bacterium. RNAcentral describes it as "uncultured Clostridiales bacterium partial 16S ribosomal RNA". It matches the Rfam family "Bacterial small subunit ribosomal RNA", at positions 568 to 774 of the family's 1533-position model. The record is from RNAcentral. Lineage: Bacteria; Bacillati; Bacillota; Clostridia; Eubacteriales.
UGCGUAGGUGGUCUUGUAAGCGUGGGGUGAAAGGCAGUGGCUUAACCAUUGCUAGCCUUGCGAACUGUGAGACUUGAGUGCAGGAGAGGAAAGUGGAAUUCCUAGUGUAGCGGUGAAAUGCGUAGAUAUUAGGAGGAACACCAGUGGCGAAGGCGACUUUCUGGACUGUAACUGACACUGAGGCACGAAAGCGUGGGGAGCAAACA